RNAcentral lists this ribosomal RNA (523 nucleotides) under uncultured bacterium. RNAcentral's name for it is "partial 16S ribosomal RNA". It matches the Rfam family "Bacterial small subunit ribosomal RNA", at positions 29 to 523 of the family's 1533-position model. The record is from RNAcentral.
UACGAACGCUGGCGGCGUGCCUAAUACAUGCAAGUCGAACGCUUUUUCUUUCACCGGAGCUUGCUCCACCGAAAGAAAAAGAGUGGCGAACGGGUGAGUAACACGUGGGUAACCUGCCCAUCAGAAGGGGAUAACACUUGGAAACAGGUGCUAAUACCGUAUAACACUACUUUCCGCAUGGAAGAAAGUUGAAAGGCGCUUUUGCGUCACUGAUGGAUGGACCCGCGGUGCAUUAGCUAGUUGGUGAGGUAACGGCUCACCAAGGCAACGAUGCAUAGCAGACCGGAGAGGGUGAUCAGCCACACUGGGACUGAGACACGGCCCAGACUCCUACGGGAGGCAGCAGUAGGGAAUCGUCGGCAAUGGACGAAAGUCUGACCGAGCAACGCCGCGUGAGUGAAGAAGGUUUUCGGAUCAUAAAACUCUGUUGUUAGAGAAGAACAAGGAUGAGAGUAGAACGUUCAUCCCUUGACGGUAUCUAACCAGAAAGCCACGGCUAACUACGUGCCAGCAGCCGCAGUAA